UAGAAAGUGGCUCGCAGUAUUUGAAGAUAAUUUUUGACUGCUUGAGUUUUGCAGUUAUAAAUAUGCGGCCUGAUGCCGUCAAGUAGAAAUGUUAAACAGAAAAGCGAAUUGUGAAAAAUAUUUAUACAGUUUUACUGAGGACAUAUAAAUUUAGGAAUUUUUGGAAAACUAAGGAAUAGAAAUAGCUUUUGUCAAGGAAUGCUUCCUAUGUUUGCUACUCUUUACCGCCGUAUCCAAUACAGCAACUGUUUCCGUCACAGAAUAGAGUUUGAACGGCGCUAGCUGCGAAAGAUGUAUCGCUUUCGACAGUUUCGCUUGCUUUUAUGGAAGAAUUUCCUUCUUCAGGUAAUAUAGCAUUCGCGUUUUACUUUGUAUAUACUCGGAAUUUUUAGACAGCUUGUGCACAUAGUCGUUCUAAGUAGUAUUCGCGUUCGAACAAGCUAUAUUUAUAUGAGCACAUAUUUUAUGAAUAAUCAGUCCUUUUAAAGAUACAAAAAGAAGUAUCAAAGUCAGUCAGGCAUGCGCAUAUUUUGCGAUUUCAAAGACUUGAAAAAGCUAUAUUUUUGAAGCAAUAUGUUCGUCGUGUCGGGAUUGUGUAAACAAAGUCAUCCAUCCAUCAUAAUAUUUCCGUCUGCUCUUGUACUGUACAAAAUAAUGGAAAAUUUUACUACCAAAUGAAGUGCUACACAACCACUUUGCUCUUUAUAAAUAGUUCAUAAAGCAUUUCUAUGUUUAUAUUUCAAAAUAAAUCUCUACAGUUCGAGGAGCCAUUAUUAAUAAUAUGCGAUUAUAUUCUAAAUUUGUAUUUUGACUUCUAGAUUCGGCGGCCAAUCGGGACUAUUUUUGAAAUCGUUCUCCCUGUCGUUUUUGUUGCGAUUUUGAUCCUAGCUAGGUGAGUUGUUUUUUUAAUCCAGACUAAUUUAAAAUCGUGUAAAAUAUU
This is a non-coding RNA of Paramuricea clavata, 940 nucleotides long. Lineage: Eukaryota; Metazoa; Cnidaria; Anthozoa; Malacalcyonacea; Plexauridae. The record is from the annotation of a GenBank genome assembly.